This 362-nucleotide ribosomal RNA is filed under the name Prasinoderma coloniale. RNAcentral's name for it is "partial Bacterial large subunit ribosomal RNA". It matches the Rfam family "Bacterial large subunit ribosomal RNA", at positions 943 to 1312 of the family's 2925-position model. Lineage: Eukaryota; Viridiplantae; Prasinodermophyta; Prasinodermophyceae; Prasinodermales; Prasinodermaceae. The record is from RNAcentral.
UCCUAACCAAACUCCGAAUACCGGGGCGUACUGAUCGGCAGACACACGGCGGGUGCUAACGUCCGUCGUGGAGAGGGAAACAACCCUGACCGCCAGUUAAGGUCCCUAAGUUAUGGCUAAGUGGGAAAGGAUGUAGAACUCCCAAAACAACCAGGAUGUUGGCUUAGAAGCAGCCAUCAUUUAAAGAAAGCGUAACAGCUCACUCAUCAAGCGAUCCUGCGCCGAAAAUGUAACGGGGCUAAAGCCAUUUACCGAAAUUGUGGGCUCGAAAGAGCGGUAGCGGAGCGUUCCGUAAGCCUGCGAAGGUGCACUGCGAGGUGUGCUGGAGGUAUCGGAAGUGAGAAUGUUGACAUGAGUAGCGA